This 1334-nucleotide ribosomal RNA is filed under the name metagenome. RNAcentral describes it as "bacterial LSU rRNA". It matches the Rfam family "Bacterial large subunit ribosomal RNA", at positions 1610 to 2925 of the family's 2925-position model. The record is from RNAcentral.
AAGAAAAGCUUCUAAGCUUCAGGUAACCAGGAACCGUACCCCAAACCGACACAGGUGGUCGGGUAGAGAAUACCAAGGCGCUUGAGAGAACUCGGGUGAAGGAACUAGGCAAAAUGGCACCGUAACUUCGGGAGAAGGUGCGCCGGCUAGGGUGAAGGAUUUACUCCGUAAGCUCUGGCUGGUCGAAGAUACCAGGCCGCUGCGACUGUUUAUUAAAAACACAGCACUCUGCAAACACGAAAGUGGACGUAUAGGGUGUGACGCCUGCCCGGUGCCGGAAGGUUAAUUGAUGGGGUUAGCGCAAGCGAAGCUCUUGAUCGAAGCCCCGGUAAACGGCGGCCGUAACGAUAACGGUCCUAAGGUAGCGAAAUUCCUUGUCGGGUAAGUUCCGACCUGCACGAAUGGCGUAACGAUGGCGGCGCUGUCUCCACCCGAGACUCAGUGAAAUUGAAAUCGCUGUGAAGAUGCAGUGUAUCCGCGGCUAGACGGAAAGACCCCGUGAACCUUUACUGUAGCUUUGCACUGGACUUUGAGCCUGCUUGUGUAGGAUAGGUGGGAGGCUUUGAAGCGUGGACGCCAGUUCGCGUGGAGCCAUCCUUGAAAUACCACCCUGGCAUGCUUGAGGUUCUAACUCUGGUCCGUAAUCCGGAUCGAGGACAGUGUAUGGUGGGCAGUUUGACUGGGGCGGUCUCCUCCUAAAGAGUAACGGAGGAGUACGAAGGUGCGCUCAGACCGGUCGGAAAUCGGUCGCAGAGUAUAAAGGCAAAAGCGCGCUUGACUGCGAGACAGACACGUCGAGCAGGUACGAAAGUAGGUCUUAGUGAUCCGGUGGUUCUGUAUGGAAGGGCCAUCGCUCAACGGAUAAAAGGUACUCCGGGGAUAACAGGCUGAUACCGCCCAAGAGUUCAUAUCGACGGCGGUGUUUGGCACCUCGAUGUCGGCUCAUCACAUCCUGGGGCUGAAGCCGGUCCCAAGGGUAUGGCUGUUCGCCAUUUAAAGCGGUACGCGAGCUGGGUUUAGAACGUCGUGAGACAGUUCGGUCCCUAUCUGCCGUGGACGUUUGAGAUUUGAGAGGGGCUGCUCCUAGUACGAGAGGACCGGAGUGGACGAACCUCUGGUGUUCCGGUUGUCACGCCAGUGGCAUUGCCGGGUAGCUAUGUUCGGAAAAGAUAACCGCUGAAAGCAUCUAAGCGGGAAACUUGCCUCAAGAUGAGAUCUCACUGGGAACUUGAUUCCCCUGAAGGGCCGUCGAAGACUACGACGUUGAUAGGCUGGGUGUGUAAGCGUUGUGAGGCGUUGAGCUAACCAGUACUAAUUGCCCGUGAGGCUUGACC